This 446-nucleotide ribosomal RNA is filed under the name uncultured bacterium. RNAcentral describes it as "bacterial SSU rRNA". It matches the Rfam family "Bacterial small subunit ribosomal RNA", at positions 329 to 792 of the family's 1533-position model. The record is from RNAcentral.
UCCCAGACUCCUACGGGAGGCAGCAGUGGGGAAUAUUGCACAAUGGGGGAAACCCUGAUGCAGCGACGCCGCGUGAGCGAUGAAGUAUUUCGGUAUGUAAAGCUCUAUCAGCAGGGAAGAAAAUGACGGUACCUGACUAAGAAGCCCCGGCUAACUACGUGCCAGCAGCCGCGGUAAUACGUAGGGGGCAAGCGUUAUCCGGAUUUACUGGGUGUAAAGGGAGCGUAGACGGCUGUGCAAGCCAGAUGUGAAAGCCCGGGGCUCAACCCCGGGACUGCAUUUGGAACUGUGUGGCUGGAGUGUCGGAGAGGCAGGCGGAAUUCCUAGUGUAGCGGUGAAAUGCGUAGAUAUUAGGAGGAACACCAGUGGCGAAGGCGGCCUGCUGGACGAUGACUGACGUUGAGGCUCGAAAGCGUGGGGAACAAACAGGAUUAGAUACCCCCGUA